GGGGCGGUAGCUCAGCUGGUCAGAGCAGGAGACUCAUAAUCUUCGGGUCGCGGGUUCGAGUCCCGCCCGCCCCA
RNAcentral lists this transfer RNA (74 nucleotides) under Actinomadura graeca. Its description in RNAcentral is "Actinomadura sp. 32-07 tRNA-Ile". It matches the Rfam family "tRNA". From Rfam's summary of the family: Transfer RNA (tRNA) molecules are approximately 80 nucleotides in length. Their secondary structure includes four short double-helical elements and three loops (D, anti-codon, and T loops). Further hydrogen bonds mediate the characteristic L-shaped molecular structure. tRNAs have two regions of fundamental functional importance: the anti-codon, which is responsible for specific mRNA codon recognition, and the 3' end, to which the tRNAs corresponding amino acid is attached (by aminoacyl-tRNA synthetases). tRNAs cope with the degeneracy of the genetic code in two manners: having more than one tRNA (with a specific anti-codon) for a particular amino acid; and 'wobble' base-pairing, i.e. permitting non-standard base-pairing at the 3rd anti-codon position. The record is from RNAcentral. Lineage: Bacteria; Bacillati; Actinomycetota; Actinomycetes; Streptosporangiales; Thermomonosporaceae.